AGAUUUGGCAGACAUCCUUUUUUUUUUUUUUUGGUCUUCAUCCUGAUGUGACAGGAACCAAAAAUUCUAUGUUCAAAUUUGCCAGCAGUUUUUCCUCAUUACCAGAAGUUGGACCCUGACAUGGUUGAAACCAAAAAAAUUUCCAUUUUGGAUUUGCCUGAGUCCUCAGCUGGGUCCUUGGGGGAGAGAGGCAGCGGGUGCUGGCCUAGAGGAGCAGAGUGAGAGACAGCAAAGCCAACAGGAUGGAGUUGGAGAACAAGGUCUUACGCCCAUGGAGCCCCUGGAAUGCGAGAGUGGGGCUGGGGGCAGUGAUGGAUUACUUGGGAAAGCGUGACCUAAAGGGCUGGAAAACACCGGACGCCGAGAGUACACAAGACAUCCCUGAUGGACCACUCCACUGGAGGAAGUCAGCCUGAGCUCCGGCGACUACCUUUGCCCCCAAGCAGGACCAUGCCAGGUCAAGAGAGGGAGAGACAUAGUUUUCUUAUGGGAGCCCGGCUAUACCUGAAGCUGUCCCUGGAAUUCACUGCCUAAGCCACUUUGAGGAUUUCCUGUCACUGACAACUAAGAGGCCAGAAUAAGGGUAUCCUUUUAGCAACAGCAUUAAAAAAAAAAUGAUCUUCCUGGAAAAAAAACUGGCUUGGUAGUUUUGCGUAUUCUAUAUUGAAUUGAUCAAUUAGAUAUAUGAACAUGAGUGAGAUAGUUCAAAGGAUGCUGUUCAGAAUUACGCAAGCCAUAUUUGAGUGUUUUAAGUUGAUGCAAGGUUCAUAAUACUCAAGCAACAAUUGGGCAAAGGAAGCACAAGGAACAGGGAUUCCCAUGUAGUGUCUAGAUCAUCAGGAAAAUAUCGCUGGUUGUUCAGUGGGUAGCAAGUGAAGGCAAUUAACUAGCUCUAUCAACUCCUUAAACCAACUACACAGUGAAGGAGGCAGAGAAGAGAAGUAGAGCAGGCUGGGAACAUUUACAUUCCACUGCGGUUGUCAGGAACACCCGCUUUCCUUACCCAGAGCGGACACAGUUCUUGUCCAGCUCAGAGGCUGUCCACUGACAGCAGGUGAUCGGCUUC
Molecule: long non-coding RNA, 1066 nt
Filed under: Zalophus californianus (California sea lion)
Lineage: Eukaryota; Metazoa; Chordata; Mammalia; Carnivora; Otariidae
Description: lncRNA (ENSZCAG00015016492.1)
Source: RNAcentral